Molecule: long non-coding RNA, 564 nt
Filed under: Suricata suricatta (meerkat)
Lineage: Eukaryota; Metazoa; Chordata; Mammalia; Carnivora; Herpestidae
Description: lncRNA (ENSSSUG00005005311.1)
Source: RNAcentral
CUUAUCUAUCACUAAUGAGCCCCUCCACACAUUUAUUUUUUGCUUUGUCCCUAGAGACACUUGUGUGACCUGGAAUGAGCCCAAAUGUCCUUAUUUUGCCAGUGAUGGAGAGAUAUUGGGAGGACGUAACAGAAGAAGUGAUGUAAGAGGCAGUGCAAUCAUGCUAUUUAUCAAAAGGAACACUCGACAAUCACAAUGGACUUCAGAGCUGUGUCCUGAGCCAUCUGGUCAACUCUUGGCAAGAAACUUCUUUGUUCUUUAGAGACUGAGCUUUAUCCCCAAGCACUAACAGAAUUGAAGUGGAAGAAGUUGGAAUUAUUCAUUUUGGUAUGUAAAGAAUAACUUACUGUUUAUGCAUAUUAAGGGACAUUUUAAUUUUAUUUAAAAAAUUUUUUUAACUUUUAUUUAUUUUUGAGACACAGAGAGACAGAGUGUGAGCAGGGGAUGGACAGAGAGAGAGGGAGUCACAGAAUUCAAAGCAGGCUCCAGGCUCCUAGUUGUCAGCACAGAGCCUGAUGCAGGGCUGGAACUCAUGAACCAUGAGAUCAUGACCUGAGCUGAAGU